GACGUAGGGCGCGAGCGUUGUCCGGAAUUACUGGGCGUAAAGAGCUCGUAGGUGGUUUGUCGCGUUGUCCGUGAAAACUCACAACUCAAUUGUGGGCGUGCGGGCGAUACGGGCAGACUGGAGUACUGCAGGGGAGACUGGAAUUCCUGGUGUAGCGGUGGAAUGCGCAGAUAUCAGGAGGAACACCGGUGGCGAAGGCGGGUCUCUGGGCAAUAACUGACGCUGAGGAGCGAAAGCGUGGGGAGCAAACAGG
RNAcentral lists this ribosomal RNA (253 nucleotides) under uncultured bacterium. RNAcentral describes it as "partial 16S ribosomal RNA". It matches the Rfam family "Bacterial small subunit ribosomal RNA", at positions 524 to 776 of the family's 1533-position model. The record is from RNAcentral.